This 741-nucleotide long non-coding RNA is filed under the name Elaeis guineensis (African oil palm). RNAcentral describes it as "long non-coding RNA (EGUI_LNC064543)". The record is from RNAcentral. Lineage: Eukaryota; Viridiplantae; Streptophyta; Magnoliopsida; Arecales; Arecaceae.
CUGUUGAAGUCGUCGGCGGAGUCCGGCUCCCGUAGGAGUCUGGACGCAGUCUGUUUUGCAGCCGUUGGAGUCGAGGGCGAAGUCCGGCUCCCGUAGGAGUCCGGACGAAGCUUGACUUUAAGGUCGGCCUUGCUGGCGGAGUUGUUGAUUUUGUUGAGGACUUCGGCUGGGGGUAUUUUAUACCCAACACGAGUCCCCCUACUUUCGAGUUUGAAUUUCGAACGUAGGAAGUACAGAGAGAUGGGCACAGUCGAAGCCGUCCCCUCGCAUCCUGUGCACUGCCGCCCCCAGAUAUUUUGGUAUUUAAUGUGUGCACGUCAGAGCCCAUUUUUCGGUGAAGGCGACCUGAAGAGUCUUUUCGAAACCCCUGUCGGAAUGCGAUCCCAAGCGUCGUGCUACGGAAAUUCGUGAACGAUCAACCCUCGAUAGCAGUGAAGGGGACAUGCGGGAUGCGUGGCAUGCACCAGUUGGCCCAGGAACACCUGCCGCCAUAACUGCGCUAGGAUCUGUCGGCUAUUUAAACCCCCUACUCUCCCUUCAUGGCUUCAUCCUGUCGAUAGGACGGUACCUUUCUUUCACCUGAGAGCCUAGCUACUUAGCUACUUCCCUUGCACCAGUCCCUGCCUUCUUCAGCCCCCCACUUCUUCUCUGAGGGUUCCAACACCAUGUCUUCUACCCCAGAGGCCCUCCUUGAAGGGAUAUCUAGGGCUUGGAGGAAGGCGAGGAGGAGAACAGCGGCCG